RNAcentral lists this ribosomal RNA (447 nucleotides) under uncultured bacterium. RNAcentral describes it as "bacterial SSU rRNA". It matches the Rfam family "Bacterial small subunit ribosomal RNA", at positions 355 to 825 of the family's 1533-position model. The record is from RNAcentral.
UCGGGAAUUUUGGGCAAUGGGCGAAAGCCUGACCCAGCAACGCCGCGUGAAGGAUGAAGUAUUUCGGUAUGUAAACUUCGUAAGAAUAGGAAGAAUAAAUGACGGUACUAUUUGUAAGGUCCGGCUAACUACGUGCCAGCAGCCGCGGUAAUACGUAGGGUGCAGGCGUUAAUCGGAAUUACUGGGCGUAAAGCGUGCGCAGGUGGCUCCUUAAGUCAGAUGUGAAAUCCCCGGGCUUAACCUGGGAACUGCGUUUGAAACUGGCAAUCUAGAGUCCGGAAGAGGUUAGUGGAAUUCCCAGUGUAGAGGUGAAAUUCGUAGAUAUUGGGAAGAACACCAGUGGCGAAGGCGGCUAACUGGUCCGGUACUGACGCUGAGGUGCGAAAGCGUGGGGAGCAAACAGGAUUAGAUACCCCUGUAGUCCCUGAGCGGGCUGGCAAGGCGCAU